AAACAACACUUGAGAUGCGUCACCAUUCUUCUUCUUCUUUCUUUUUUUCUUCUUCGGUCAAUCAGUUGCAAAUCUCUCAACUCUCACUUUUUUAGGGAUUGAAAUUGUGAAAAAAUCCAGAGCUAGAAGAACGGCAAGGCCAAGGCCAAUUUCAGCACACGAAGAAUUUUUCCUUAAUGCUAGCAGUGAUGGACUUUGUGCUAUCUGCUAGGUUUUCUUUUUCUGAUCUGUAUUAUUAUAGGGAAUUCUGGAACUGAUUGAAACAAAGGGGUGAAUUGACCCAUUUUUUAUACCUAUAAGGGCUUAUUUCCCCCAUUUAUGAAAGUAUAAGGGCUUCAAUAUAUC
This is a long non-coding RNA of Tripterygium wilfordii, 345 nucleotides long. RefSeq lists it as uncharacterized. The transcript is spliced from 2 exons. The record is from RefSeq and is a predicted model, not a curated record. Lineage: Eukaryota; Viridiplantae; Streptophyta; Magnoliopsida; Celastrales; Celastraceae.